GUCGAAGUGGCGGAACGGUAGACGCGCGGGCUUGAGGGGCUCGUUUCCUAGGAAGUGGGAGUUCAAAUCUCCUCUUCGACACCA
RNAcentral lists this transfer RNA (84 nucleotides) under Arcobacter sp. Its description in RNAcentral is "tRNA-Leu". It matches the Rfam family "tRNA". Rfam says of the family: Transfer RNA (tRNA) molecules are approximately 80 nucleotides in length. Their secondary structure includes four short double-helical elements and three loops (D, anti-codon, and T loops). The record is from RNAcentral. Lineage: Bacteria; Pseudomonadati; Campylobacterota; Epsilonproteobacteria; Campylobacterales; Arcobacteraceae.